GUCAGGCGGGGGCUACCCGCUAGAGUUUAAAUCAUAUAAGAAU
This 43-nucleotide ribosomal RNA is filed under the name Bambusa affinis. RNAcentral's name for it is "partial 28S ribosomal RNA". The record is from RNAcentral. Lineage: Eukaryota; Viridiplantae; Streptophyta; Magnoliopsida; Poales; Poaceae.